GUCUAGGGCCAUGCUGCUUUGAAUGUGCCCAGUCUCAUCUAAUCUUAGAAGCCAAGCAGGGCUGGAUCUGGUUAGUACUUGGAUGAGAGAGUAUGAAAACAGAAGGAGUGUGAAAUGUUCAGAUGGACCUUGACU
This 135-nucleotide ribosomal RNA is filed under the name Meriones unguiculatus (Mongolian gerbil). Lineage: Eukaryota; Metazoa; Chordata; Mammalia; Rodentia; Muridae. The record is from RNAcentral.